Molecule: transfer RNA, 72 nt
Filed under: Camelus bactrianus (Bactrian camel)
Lineage: Eukaryota; Metazoa; Chordata; Mammalia; Artiodactyla; Camelidae
Also listed under: 1 other name
Rfam family: tRNA
About the family: Transfer RNA (tRNA) molecules are approximately 80 nucleotides in length. Their secondary structure includes four short double-helical elements and three loops (D, anti-codon, and T loops). Further hydrogen bonds mediate the characteristic L-shaped molecular structure. tRNAs have two regions of fundamental functional importance: the anti-codon, which is responsible for specific mRNA codon recognition, and the 3' end, to which the tRNAs corresponding amino acid is attached (by aminoacyl-tRNA synthetases). tRNAs cope with the degeneracy of the genetic code in two manners: having more than one tRNA (with a specific anti-codon) for a particular amino acid; and 'wobble' base-pairing, i.e. permitting non-standard base-pairing at the 3rd anti-codon position.
Source: Rfam by way of RNAcentral
GAGGGUAUAGCUCAAUGGUAGAGCACAUGCCUAGCAUGCAUGAGGUCCUGGGUUCAAUCCCCAGUGCCUCCA